This 413-nucleotide ribosomal RNA is filed under the name uncultured bacterium. Its description in RNAcentral is "bacterial SSU rRNA". It matches the Rfam family "Bacterial small subunit ribosomal RNA", at positions 505 to 916 of the family's 1533-position model. The record is from RNAcentral.
GUGUCAGCCGCCGCGGUAAGACGAGGGAUCCUAGCGUUGUUCGGAAUCAUUGGGCGUAAAGCGGAUGUAGGUGGCUUUGUAAGUCAGGUGUGAAAGCCCCGGGCUCAACCCGGGAAGUGCAUUUGAUACUGCGAAGCUUGAGUGCUGGAGAGGUUACUAGAAUACCUGGUGUAGUGGUGAAAUACGUAGAUAUCAGGUGGAAUACCGGAGGCGAAGGCGGGUAACCAGCCAGACACUGACACUCAGAUCCGAAAGUGUGGGGAUCAAACAGGAUUAGAUACCCUGGUAGUCCACACCGUAAACGAUGGAUACUUGUUGUUGGAGGUAUUGACCCCUUCAGUGACGCAGUUAACACGGUAAGUAUCCCGCCUGGGGAGUACGGUCGCAAGAUUAAAACUCAAAUAAAUUGACGG